UCUAGUGGCGAUAGCGAAGAGGUCACACUCGUUCCCAUGCCGAACACGAUCGUUAAGCUCUUCAGCGCCGAUGGUAGUUGGG
Molecule: ribosomal RNA, 82 nt
Filed under: Anaerobacillus alkaliphilus
Lineage: Bacteria; Bacillati; Bacillota; Bacilli; Caryophanales; Bacillaceae
Source: RNAcentral